This is a small nucleolar RNA of Rhododendron vialii, 105 nucleotides long. RefSeq annotates it as small nucleolar RNA snoR100. NCBI's taxonomy places the organism in Eukaryota, Viridiplantae, Streptophyta, Magnoliopsida, Ericales, Ericaceae. The transcript has a single exon. The record is from RefSeq and is a predicted model, not a curated record.
GAAUGAAGGAAGCAUAAUAUGCACAGAAAUUGAUUUGGGUCUCUAGGCCUGCCCUCUCUUAUGCUUUUCGGCUUUGAUUUGGGGGCUUGGUUCCAUAAAAAAAAA